UAGGAGGGUACGGAUUCCAUGGGUUUGGUUACCUUCUGGUAGAGAUGAAUAAAUCUGGCAUUUACCCAAACUCUGUUACUUUUACUUAGUGCUAUCGGCUUGUAGUCAUUCAUGUCUAGUGGAUAAGGGGCUUGAAGUCUUCCACAGAAUGAAGACUGACUUUGGCUUUAACCCUGAAAUGUAACUUUUUCUUAUGUUGUUGAUUUACAAGCAUGUGCCAGUCGACUUGAGGAUGCUGUUGGUUUUGUAAGGAAAAUGCCCCUAGAGCCUGAUAAGUCUAUCUUGGUUUUUGUUCUUUCUGCUUCUCUUAAGCUCAACAAGACAUAAAUAUUACUUUGCUAGGUUCAGAACAUUUCCUCCAUCUUGAACCUGAAUAUAUUGGACAUUACGUGACUUUGGCCAAUAUAUACACCAUGGCAGGAAGAUGGGAUGAUGCUAUACAAGUGAGAAAGCUAAUGGAGAGUAGAGGAUUGGUCAAAGCUAACGAGGUGAUGAUGUCAACAUUUAUUUUAUUUUUUUGUUAAGUGCAAGGUGUUAUUAAGCUCAACCAAACAAACAAAGUCCAGGGAUAAAACCCCAUACAACAAAGCAACAGAAAAAGCAGCAAUUAGUCUGGCAAAAGAAACUGUCAAACACCCUAAAUACACAUGUUUCAGAAUCCUUUCAGCCAAGCCCCAACUACCACAGAGGGCCUUAUUCUUCAAGGAGUGAUUCAAAUUUCUCCCAGAGCUGAGAAAUUCCCUGAUUUCAGUGGCAAUUCUGAUGAACUCCUUAUCAUGCUCAGCAGCUUUCACUUGGAAAAUUUGACCAUUCCUCUCCCUUCACUAGCCAUACAGUGCAGCUGCCAAGGUACACUUGAGACUAAUUCUCCUAAGGCCUUUACCUUUCACAUGAAUAAUAAACCACUCUAGAGCAUCCCCUCUUGUACUAGGCAUUCCCCACACCAUAUUCCUGACCAUCAAGUCCUGCCACGCAGCUAACGAGAAGCGACAUUAAAAAAAAGAUGUUGGUAUGGUUCUCCCCCAAUUCUGCUGGAACAACAAUUGCGAUCUAACUCUAUACCGCAGCUUCUCAACCUGUCUUUGGUAUAUAAUCUGUGAUGAACAGCGAACCAGAGGACAAAAAACCAUCUAGGCACAUUAUUUCCUCCCCAAAUUGUGCCAGGCCUGAAUGAGAUACCUUUUCCUGACGGCAUGCCAAGCAGAUUGGGCUGUGAAAUUACCUCUGGGAUGAGGUUGAGGCAACCAAACUACAGAAUCAUCCCUUUCAGGCAUAGGCAUCAGGCUUGGCAGAGUUUGAGCAAUUAUAGCUUGGACGGCUUGGUUUCUCAAUCUCGGUCAACACCAAAUGCCAUGGUCAAUAAUUGAUGCAACUUUGGCCCUUAGAGGCCUGCCCAAAUUAGUCACUACCCUUUCCCCAAAAGUUUACAUACUGUAUAGCCUGUAUAUUGAUGGCAAACUCAUUAGGAGUACGUUGCUGCACAACAAAGCAACUGAGGAGAUGAAAGUCUAGGAGCGACGUAUUUGAAGAUGAAUCUCGACUUUGAAAUUUGUGGAUGAGUUGUUGAAGGCAGCACUGAUUAACAAGUUCUAAUAGGAUGUUAAGUGACAGAAGUUCAAGCUCACUAGAUUACGCGACUCGAACAUAGAUUGACCAGGCAAUGGGGAUGAUUUGUCUCCUGACGGCAGAGGACAGCAACCACCGUUUGGACUCCUGGGCAUGAACUUCAAGAAGUUGCUUGACCUUGUGGAGAAGAGUUGCCACCAAAUCCACAAGGAAACUGCGGUUCACAAGGUUGCCUUGAAAGUUUGAAAACUCUGAUGGCACCAAUCGCCAAUACCCUCGUGCACUCUUCACACCUUUUCUAUUGGCUCAUACGCAUAGUAGUAAAUUGUAGCUUGCAAAAUAAAUUUCUUGCUUUUGACAGAUUGUAAGAAGAUUUUGUUGAGAUUGUGUCAUCCCUUUACCAUUGGCACAAACAAACUGUAGUAAAUUUUAGCUCGCAAAAUAGAUUUUGUUGCUUGUGACAGAUUGGAAGAAGGUUUUAUUGCGAUUGACCUGCAUUUUACUUGUUUUCAGGUGGCUAUAUGUUCUGCUGCGCUUUGAGGACUUCCGGCAUAAACAGGAUUUGGUCUUGUCCUCAGUGUCAAUUCUUCACAGGAAAAUGGAAAUACAAGGGUUGGGCAAUGGCUAGACAGAUUGAUCUACUUCUCAGAAUGAAGUGUUAAAAGUUAGCAAGAAACUUGGUCAUUGGUUUGUGGACUGAGACUCGUCCAGUUCCGAUGGUGGUUUAAGCUAGUGGACUUGGCAGGAAGA
Rhododendron vialii is the source of this 2316-nucleotide long non-coding RNA. RefSeq lists it as uncharacterized. Lineage: Eukaryota; Viridiplantae; Streptophyta; Magnoliopsida; Ericales; Ericaceae. The transcript is spliced from 4 exons. The record is from RefSeq and is a predicted model, not a curated record.